RNAcentral lists this ribosomal RNA (326 nucleotides) under Myrmeleon sp. A AS-2013. RNAcentral describes it as "SSU rRNA". It matches the Rfam family "Eukaryotic small subunit ribosomal RNA", at positions 1045 to 1370 of the family's 1831-position model. The record is from RNAcentral. Lineage: Eukaryota; Metazoa; Arthropoda; Insecta; Neuroptera; Myrmeleontidae.
GCUAGCGAUCCGCCAAAGUUCCUCCGAUGACUUGGUGGGCAGCUUCCGGGAAACCAAAGCAUUUGGGUUCCGGGGGAAGUAUGGUUGCAAAGCUGAAACUUAAAGGAAUUGACGGAAGGGCACCACCAGGAGUGGAGCCUGCGGCUUAAUUUGACUCAACACGGGAAACCUCACCAGGCCCGGACACGGGAAGGAUUGACAGAUUGAGAGCUCUUUCUUGAUUCGGUGGGUGGUGGUGCAUGGCCGUUCUUAGUUGGUGGAGCGAUUUGUCUGGUUAAUUCCGAUAACGAACGAGACUCUAGCCUACUAAAUAGACGUACUUUAUU